ACCUGGCCGGCUCAGCGGGUAAAAGCAUGAGACUCUUGAUCUCAGGGUCAUAAGUUUGAGCCCCAUGUUGGGUG
Molecule: transfer RNA, 74 nt
Filed under: Felis catus (domestic cat)
Lineage: Eukaryota; Metazoa; Chordata; Mammalia; Carnivora; Felidae
Rfam family: tRNA
About the family: Transfer RNA (tRNA) molecules are approximately 80 nucleotides in length.
Source: Rfam by way of RNAcentral